CGUAACACGUGGGUGACCUGCCCUUGAGUGGGGAAUAACGCGACUAACGUCGCGCUAAUACCGCAUAGGCUGGCCGAUUCAAUUUGGUCAGUAAAGCAGCGAUGCGCUUGGGGAUGGGCCUGCGGCGGAUUAGGUAGUUGGUGGGGUAAGGGCCUACCAAGCCGAUGAUCCGUAGGGGGCGUGAGAGCGUGGCCCCCCACAUUGGCACUGAGACACGGGCCAAACUCCUACGGGAGGCAGCAGUGAGGAAUAUUGCACAAUGGGCGAAAGCCUGAUGCAGCAACGCCGCGUGGAGGACGACGGCCUUCGGGUUGUAAACUCCUUUUCCGGGGGACGAGCGAGGACGGUACCCUGGGAAUAAGUCUCGGCUAACUACGUGCCAGCAGCCGCGGUAAAACGUAGGAGGCGAGCGUUAUCCGGAUUUACUGGGCGUAAAGCGCACGCAGGUGGGUCUGC
Molecule: ribosomal RNA, 456 nt
Filed under: uncultured bacterium
Lineage: Bacteria
Description: bacterial SSU rRNA
Rfam family: Bacterial small subunit ribosomal RNA
Source: RNAcentral